GCGGAGGAAAAGAAACCAACAGGGAUUGCCCCAGUAACGGCGAGUGAAGCGGCAACGGCUCAAAUUUGAAAUCCGGCCCCCCGGGGCCCGAGUUGUAAUUUGUAGAGGACGCUUCUGGCACGGCACCUUCCAAGUCCUCUGGAACGGGGCGCCGCAGAGGGUGAGAGCCCCGUACGGUCGGACGCCAGGCCAGUGUGAAGCUCCUUCGACGAGUCGAGUAGUUUGGGAAUGCUGCUCAAAGUGGGAGGUAAAUUCCUUCUAAAGCUAAAUACCGGCUAGAGACCGAUAGCGCACAAGUAGAGUGAUCGAAAGAUGAAAAGCACUUUGAAAAGAGGGUUAAACAGCACGUGAAAUUGUUGAAAGGGAAGCGCUCAUGACCAGACGUGCGCCCCGCGGAUCACCCGGCGUUCUCGCCGGCGCACUCCGCGGGGCGCAGGCCAGCAUCGGUUCUCGCGGGGGGACAAAAGCCCGGGGAACGUGGCUCCUCCGGGAGUGUUAUAGCCCGGGGCAUAAUGCCCUCGCGGGGACCGAGGUCCCGCGCGUCCGCAAGGAUGCUGGCGUAAUGGUCAUCAGCGACCCGUCUUGAAACACGGACCAAGGAGUCAAGGUUCUGCGCGAGUGUCUGGGUGUCAAACCCGCACGCGUAAUGAAAGUGAACGCAGGUGAGAGCUUCGGCGCAUCAUCGACCGAUCCUGAUGUGCUCGGAUGGAUUUGAGUAGGAGCGUGGUGCCUUGGACCCGAAAGAUGGUGAACUAUGCUUGGAUAGGGUGAAGCCAGAGGAAACUCUGGUGGAGGCUCGCAGCGGUUCUGACGUGCAAAUCGAUCGUCAAAUCUGAGCAUGGGGGCGAAAGACUAAUCGAACCAUCUAGUAGCUGGUUACCGCCGAAGUUUCCCUCAGGAUAGCAGUGUUGAUCUUCAGUUUUAUGAGGUAAAGCGAAUGAUUAGGGACUCGGGGGCGCCUUAUAGCCUUCAUCCAUUCUCAAACUUUAAAUAUGUAAGAAGCCCUUGUUACUUAGCUGAACGUGGGCCUUCGAAUGUAGCGACACUAGUGGGCCAUUUUUGGUAAGCAGAACUGGCGAUGC
This 1082-nucleotide ribosomal RNA is filed under the name Lasiosphaeriella nitida. Its description in RNAcentral is "eukaryotic LSU rRNA". It matches the Rfam family "Eukaryotic large subunit ribosomal RNA", at positions 50 to 1159 of the family's 3401-position model. Lineage: Eukaryota; Fungi; Ascomycota; Sordariomycetes. The record is from RNAcentral.